GAUGAACGCUGGCGGCGUGCCUAAUACAUGCAAGUCGAGCGAACGGACGAGAAGCUUGCUUCGCUGAUGUUAGCGGCGGACGGGUGAGUAACACGUGGAUAACCUACCUAUAAGACUGGGAUAACUUCGGGAAACCGUAGCUAAUACCGGAUAAUAUUUUGAACCGCAUGGUGCAAAAGUGAAAGACGGUCUUGCUGUCACUUAUAGAUGGAUCCGCGCUGCAUUAGCUAGUUGGUAAGGUAACGGCUUACCAAGGCAACGAUGCAUAGCCGACCUGAGAGGGUGAUCGCCCACACUGGAGCUGAGCCGCGGUCCGGGCUCCUGCGGGAGGCAGCAGUAGGGAAUCUUCCGCAAUGGGCGAAAGCCUGACGGAGCGGCGCCGCGUGAGUGGUGGCGGUCUUCGGAGCGUAAAGCUCUGUUAUUAGGGAAGAACAUAUGUGUAAGUAACUGUGCACAUCUUGACGGUACCUAAUCAGAAAGCCACGGCUAACUACGUG
RNAcentral lists this ribosomal RNA (497 nucleotides) under uncultured bacterium. RNAcentral describes it as "partial 16S ribosomal RNA". It matches the Rfam family "Bacterial small subunit ribosomal RNA", at positions 28 to 507 of the family's 1533-position model. The record is from RNAcentral.